GACGAACGCUGGCGGCGUGCUUAACACAUGCAAGUCGAACGGAAAGGCCCUGCGUUUGUGGGGUGCUCGAGAGGCGAACGGGUGAGUAACACGUGAGUAACCUGCCCUUGACUUAGGGAUAACUUCAGGAAACUGGGGCUAAUACCGGAUAGGAGCUACUGCUGCAUGGUGGGGGUUGGAAAGAUUCGGCGGUGGGGGAUGGACUAGCGGCUUAUCAGCUUGUUGGUGGGGUAGUGGCUUACCAAGGCUUUGACGGGUAGCCGGCCUGAGAGGGUGACCGGCCACAUUGGGACUGCGAGACGGCCCAGACUCCUACGGGAGGCAGCAGUCGGGAAUAUUGCACAAUGGGCGGACGCCUGAUGCAGCAACGCCGCGUGCGGGAUGACGGCCUUCUGGUUGUAAACCGCUUUCGCCUGUGACGAAGCGUUAUUGACGGUAAUUGGUAAAGAAGCACCGGCUAACUACGUG
This 468-nucleotide ribosomal RNA is filed under the name uncultured bacterium. Its description in RNAcentral is "partial 16S ribosomal RNA". It matches the Rfam family "Bacterial small subunit ribosomal RNA", at positions 28 to 507 of the family's 1533-position model. The record is from RNAcentral.